UACGGAGGGUGCAAGCGUUAUCCGGAUUCACUGGGUUUAAAGGGUGCGUAGGCGGGCAGGUAAGUCAGUGGUGAAAUCCCCGAGCUUAACUUGGGAACUGCCGUUGAUACUAUCUGUCUUGAAUACUGUGGAGGUAAGCGGAAUAUGUCAUGUAGCGGUGAAAUGCUUAGAUAUGACAUAGAACACCUAUUGCGAAGGCAGCUCACAAAACUGUAACUGACGCUGAGGCACGAAAGCGUGGGUAUCAAACAGG
This 253-nucleotide ribosomal RNA is filed under the name uncultured bacterium. RNAcentral describes it as "partial 16S ribosomal RNA". It matches the Rfam family "Bacterial small subunit ribosomal RNA", at positions 524 to 776 of the family's 1533-position model. The record is from RNAcentral.